RNAcentral lists this ribosomal RNA (433 nucleotides) under uncultured bacterium. Its description in RNAcentral is "partial 16S ribosomal RNA". It matches the Rfam family "Bacterial small subunit ribosomal RNA", at positions 29 to 507 of the family's 1533-position model. The record is from RNAcentral.
AACGAACGCUGGCGGCAUGCCUAACACAUGCAAGUCGAACGAGACCUCCGGGUCUAGUGGCGCACGGGUGCGUAACGCGUGGGAACCUGCCCUUAGGUUCGGAAUAACUCCCCGAAAGGGGUGCUAAUACCGGAUAAUGUCUUCGGACCAAAGAUUUAUCGCCUUUGGAUGGGCCCGCGUUGGAUUAGCUAGUUGGUAGGGUAAAAGCCUACCAAGGCGACGAUCCAUAGCUGGUCUGAGAGGAUGGUCAGCCACACUGGGACUGAGACACGGCCCAGACUCCUACGGGAGGCAGCAGUGGGGAAUAUUGGACAAUGGGCGAAAGCCUGAUCCAGCAAUGCCGCGUGAGUGAUGAAGGCCUUAGGGUUGUAAAGCUCUUUUACCCGGGAUGAUAAUGACAGUACCGGGAGAAUAAGCUCCGGCUAACUCCGUG